AGAUUAAAUUGUUUAAAUCAAAGCUUCUAACUUUGAAUUUGAGGGGUUUAAAUCCCUUCUUAAUCUA
Molecule: transfer RNA, 67 nt
Filed under: Nephtys sp. 'San Juan Island' YV-2008
Lineage: Eukaryota; Metazoa; Annelida; Polychaeta; Phyllodocida; Nephtyidae
Also listed under: 1 other name
Description: tRNA-Ser
Source: RNAcentral